RNAcentral lists this ribosomal RNA (465 nucleotides) under Vreelandella stevensii. RNAcentral describes it as "partial 16S ribosomal RNA". It matches the Rfam family "Bacterial small subunit ribosomal RNA", at positions 338 to 795 of the family's 1533-position model. Lineage: Bacteria; Pseudomonadati; Pseudomonadota; Gammaproteobacteria; Oceanospirillales; Halomonadaceae. The record is from RNAcentral.
CCUACGGGUGGCAGCAGUGGGGAAUAUUGGGCAAUGGGCGAAAGCCUGAUCCAGCCAUGCCGCGUGUGUGAAGAAGGCCUUCGGGUUGUAAAGCACUUUCAGUGGGGAAGAAAGCCUUGGGGCUAAUACCCUCGAGGAAGGACAUCACCCACAGAAGAAGCACCGGCUAACUCCGUGCCAGCAGCCGCGGUAAUACGGAGGGUGCGAGCGUUAAUCGGAAUUACUGGGCGUAAAGCGCGCGUAGGCGGUCUGAUAAGCCGGUUGUGAAAGCCCCGGGCUCAACCUGGGAACGGCAUCCGGAACUGUCAGGCUAGAGUGCAGGAGAGGAAGGUAGAAUUCCCGGUGUAGCGGUGAAAUGCGUAGAGAUCGGGAGGAAUACCAGUGGCGAAGGCGGCCUUCUGGACUGACACUGACGCUGAGGUGCGAAAGCGUGGGUAGCAAACAGGAUUAGAUACCCGUGUAGUC